RNAcentral lists this ribosomal RNA (825 nucleotides) under Pseudomonas sp. RNAcentral's name for it is "bacterial SSU rRNA". It matches the Rfam family "Bacterial small subunit ribosomal RNA", at positions 118 to 932 of the family's 1533-position model. Lineage: Bacteria; Pseudomonadati; Pseudomonadota; Gammaproteobacteria; Pseudomonadales; Pseudomonadaceae. The record is from RNAcentral.
GGGGAAUUCUGGCCUGGGUAGUGGGGGAUAACGUUCGGAAACGGACGCUAAUACCGCAUACGUCCUACGGGAGAAAGCAGGGGACCUUCGGGCCUUGCGCUAUCAGAUGAGCCUAGGUCGGAUUAGCUAGUUGGUGAGGUAAUGGCUCACCAAGGCUACGAUCCGUAACUGGUCUGAGAGGAUGAUCAGUCACACUGGAACUGAGACACGGUCCAGACUCCUACGGGAGGCAGCAGUGGGGAAUAUUGGACAAUGGGCGAAAGCCUGAUCCAGCCAUGCCGCGUGUGUGAAGAAGGUCUUCGGAUUGUAAAGCACUUUAAGUUGGGAGGAAGGGCAUUAACCUAAUACGUUAGUGCUUUGACGUUACCGACAGAAUAAGCACCGGCUAACUCUGUGCCAGCAGCCGCGGUAAUACAGAGGGUGCAAGCGUUAAUCGGAAUUACUGGGCGUAAAGCGCGCGUAGGUGGUUUGUUAAGUUGAAUGUGAAAUCCCCGGGCUCAACCUGGGAACUGCAUCCAAAACUGGCAAGCUAGAGUAUGGUAGAGGGUAGUGGAAUUUCCUGUGUAGCGGUGAAAUGCGUAGAUAUAGGAAGGAACACCAGUGGCGAAGGCGACUACCUGGACUGAUACUGACACUGAUGUGCGAAAGCGUGGGGAGCAAACACGAUUAGAUACCCUGGUAGUCCACGCCGUAUACGAUGUCAACUAGCCGUUGCGAUCCAUGAGUUCUUAGUGGCGCAGCUAACGCAUUAUAUGACCGCAUGUUGGAGUACGGACCGCCAAGGUUAAAACUCACGAUGAAUUGACUGGGGCUCAUCACAAGCGG